GGCGAGGUAGCUCAGUUGGUUAGAGCGUCGGAUUCAUAACCCGGAGGUCGCGGGAUCGUGYCCCGCUCUCGCUACAW
RNAcentral lists this transfer RNA (77 nucleotides) under Maribacter sp. Its description in RNAcentral is "tRNA-Met". It matches the Rfam family "tRNA". From Rfam's summary of the family: Transfer RNA (tRNA) molecules are approximately 80 nucleotides in length. Their secondary structure includes four short double-helical elements and three loops (D, anti-codon, and T loops). Further hydrogen bonds mediate the characteristic L-shaped molecular structure. tRNAs have two regions of fundamental functional importance: the anti-codon, which is responsible for specific mRNA codon recognition, and the 3' end, to which the tRNAs corresponding amino acid is attached (by aminoacyl-tRNA synthetases). tRNAs cope with the degeneracy of the genetic code in two manners: having more than one tRNA (with a specific anti-codon) for a particular amino acid; and 'wobble' base-pairing, i.e. permitting non-standard base-pairing at the 3rd anti-codon position. The record is from RNAcentral. Lineage: Bacteria; Pseudomonadati; Bacteroidota; Flavobacteriia; Flavobacteriales; Flavobacteriaceae.